Molecule: RNA transcript, 2308 nt
Organism: Camarhynchus parvulus
Lineage: Eukaryota; Metazoa; Chordata; Aves; Passeriformes; Thraupidae
Gene: GSG1L
Gene name: GSG1 like
Exons: 8
Source: RefSeq, a predicted model, not a curated record
GCGAGCCUGGCAGCCUGCAGGUGUCUCCCGGCGGAGGAGGCUGCGGAGCCCCUCGGGAGGAUGAUGUGCGGUGGCCGAGCAGAUGUUCACUCGCCUCUGGGGCUCCUCGGCAGGCAGAGCCGCUCCGCUGCCCUCAGCGCGCUGAAGCUCCGCGGCUGCGAGGGAUCGGCCCCGCUGCCGCGCCGGCAGCUGCUCCUCUAACCAACAAAGGCAGGGUUUCAAGUCAAGGGGAAGAAUGGGAGUCUGGCUGCAGAGCUUCCUUCACCGCUUCAGCAGCAGAUUGGAAGAAGCUGAGAGUUUUGAUGCCUGGACAACUGGAUUCUGAAUCGUGAGAGGCUUUGAAACCCACCCCCCCCUCCCAAAUAAAACAAACCCCUUUGACUUCUUCUCUCAGCAGGAGGGGGAGGGAGGGCGGAUUUACCAUGAAGACAAAUCGAAGAUGCAGAGCCCUGCUAGCAGUGAGUCUGAAUCUGAUGGCUCUCCUCUUCUCUACAACAGCUUUUAUCACGACCCACUGGUGUGAGGGCACACAGAGGGUCCCCAAGCCGAGCUGUGGGAAAGAGAAGAAGACAAACUGCCUCAACUACGGCGGGAAUGAGACUGCAAAUGAGACGAACCAGAAUGUGGUUCAUUACAGCUGGGAGACGGGAGAUGACCGCUUCCUUUUCAGGUAUUUCCACACUGGGAUCUGGUACUCCUGUGAGGAAAAUAUCAAUGCUGCUGGUGAAAAAUGUCGAAGUUUUAUUGACCUUGCCCCGGCUUCUGAAAAAGGUGUGCUGUGGCUCUCAGUGGUGUCCGAGGUGUUGUACAUCAUGCUGUUGGUCGUCGGGUUCAGCCUCAUGUGCCUCGAGCUCUUUCAUUCAAGCAGUGUCAUAGAUGGGCUCAAGUUAAAUGCCUUUGCUGCUGUCUUCACUGUGCUUUCAGGUCUCUUGGGGAUGGUGGCACACAUGAUGUACACUCAAGUUUUCCAAGUGACAGUCAGCCUUGGGCCAGAGGACUGGCGACCACACUCCUGGGACUAUGGAUGGUCCUUCUGUCUGGCCUGGGGCUCCUUCACCUGCUGCAUGGCAGCCUCUGUCACCACCCUCAACUCCUACACCAAGACUGUCAUUGAGUUCAGGCACAAGCGCAAAAUCUUUGAGCAGGGCUUUCGAGAAGAGCAGAACUUCCUAGACCAGGAAGCCAUCAAGUACUUCAGAGAAAGGACUGAGGAGGAGAGGGCUGAGGCUGGGGACCUGAGGUUACAGUGCCUCCAUAGCUGCUCCCCAAAUAGGCUUCACAACACCCAGCUCUAAGUGUCACUAGCCCGCAGAGGAACAGGAGUGACCAUAAUGCUCAGAAAAUCCCCCCAUUCGCUACGUCAAGCUCUUCCAGCGACACAUCAAGCAGCUCUUCACUUUCAUCAGAACCAACCAGCCAGAUCUCCAUGGUUCAGGAUCAAACCCUGCUGGACAUCACCUCCAUCACUAGAUUGGCCCCAGGGGAAUCACCAAACCCUCAACCACUUGAGCAAAGAGAUACAAAUUUAGCAAUAUCGUGUUCCAGCCCACUCGGAGCAAGGACUAUUCCAGCAUCUUGCCCAGCCAGCCUCAGGCUCAGUCUAACACCCAGCUCAGCCAAGCCACAGCAAUACUCUGACUGCUCUCCAGUCAGCCCAGGGAUCAAUGCAGCUUCCUUCUCCACCUUCUGUCCUCACUCAGCACAAAACGUCCGAGCUUCAGCUUCAGAUCACACACUGACCCCAACCAGGACAAGCACAAGGCCUCCAGCAACAGCGACUCCUGAAGAGAGUUCCCAGGCUCCUGGCUAUUCUAAAACUGAAUUAAAGAAUACAGGAAAGGGGUUUGAAUCAGAUCUGGAAGAUCCUGAUCACGAGAGGAGAUUUGUAACCACACAGGAAUUCCAAGCCAUGGAGAAAGAACUAGAGGAUGUAAAGGAAGACCUGAAAUGCCUGAAGUGGAAGGUGAGACACAUAGGUGAGACGGUGCAGCCCCUGGCCGAGGACAGCAAGAGGUACAACGGCUACACCCUGAUGGAGCUCAAGGCCAUGGUGCAGUUUGAGGAUGACCCUUACAAGGCUGCCCACAAGAUCCUCACUGCCCUCUUCAGUGAUGUCUACUGGCCACAGCACCCAGGCACCGAGCAGGCCUGCAACUCCUGCUCCCUGCCCAAGCCCAACAUAGACCCAGAGCUGUACACGGUCUACUGUGACAUCCUGAAAAGCAUAUUCCCUGGAAUUAGCAGCCAGACAUUGAGGGAAGAGACACAGCACGUGCAGAAAGGCACCCAGAGUGCAGUGCAGUAACAG